RNAcentral lists this unclassified non-coding RNA (224 nucleotides) under plant metagenome. Its description in RNAcentral is "partial contains small subunit ribosomal RNA and internal transcribed spacer 1". The stretch from base 1 to 46 matches the Rfam family "Eukaryotic small subunit ribosomal RNA", at positions 1786 to 1831 of the family's 1831-position model. The record is from RNAcentral.
AAGUCGUAACAAGGUUUCCGUAGGUGAACCUGCGGAAGGAUCAUUACAAGUGAGGCCGCCGAACACCGAUCAAACGGUGGGUAGGCGGCUUACACCCACCCGUGUCUACAUACUCUUGUUGCUUUGGCGGGCCGUGGCCUCCACUGCGGGCUCUGCUCGUGUGUGCCCGCCAGAGAACCAAACUCUGAAUGUUAGUGAUGUCUGAGUACUAUCUAAUAGUUAAA